This is a long non-coding RNA of Haemorhous mexicanus (house finch), 846 nucleotides long. RefSeq lists it as uncharacterized. Lineage: Eukaryota; Metazoa; Chordata; Aves; Passeriformes; Fringillidae. The transcript has 4 exons. The record is from RefSeq and is a predicted model, not a curated record.
ACUUUCCAAAAAGGCAGCGCGGAAACUACGGCGUGUGACAGGGACUGCCACCUGCCCGGGUCUUGUCAGACCUCCUGCGGCUCGCUGCUGGAAUGAUCAGCCUGCCUCUGUUGUGCAGCCAGAUAGACCGCACCGACGGAACCUUGGCAGAAGCGAGGGCCUCGCUCAUGCUCGUUUUGGAAGAAUCAACUGAAAAACCUCCCUAAGACCUGUCUGGACAGGUUGCCAAAUCCCUGCCUGCAGCAGGUCCCCAUGGGAGCCUGAUCCCAGCCUCUUUUCCCCAUCCCUCUCCAAGGUGGGAGCUCGGACACCCUGCCUGUCUUCACUGAUUCCCUCUCUGCCACCAGCCGAGAUGCAAAUUCCUCAUAUGGAUUAAAAAAGAACCUCUGCCUGCCACUUCUUCCCACCCUCUGUUACUCUUGAUGCCUAUAGUAGUGUCCUGUUGGCAUCAGCUGCAGCUUGCUUAAUGUAUUGUUUACUCCCAGGAACUGCAGAAUGUCAGACAAGAAGAGAGAAAGGUAUUGGCCAGCUAUUUGUUCAGUUACGUUGUUACCACCAAACCAGUGUAUGAAAAUCAUGUCACAUAGUACAAAAUAUUAUAAGACUAAUAUUUCUUUUGCUCCCCAUUAAAUUGUCUUUGCACCAAAACUAAGCACUUAUCAGUAGACUUGCUUUUUUUCUGGCUUGGUGUGAGCUGAUGUCGUCUCAAGAAAGCUGUAAUCCUCAAAAUGUGCCAAAGCCUAUUGUUUUCUGUCACAGGUAAAUUAUGAUACCUCCACUUCCAUGCAGCCAAAAUGAAAUAAGCAAAUGCAUUGGGAAAGACAGCUUGAAGUGACUGCUAUCUUA